AGUGAACGCUGGCGGUAGGCCUAACACAUGCAAGUCGAACGGCAGCACAGUAAGAGCUUGCUCUUACGGGUGGCGAGUGGCGGACGGGUGAGGAAUACAUCGGAAUCUACUUUUUCGUGGGGGAUAACGUAGGGAAACUUACGCUAAUACCGCAUACGACCUACGGGUGAAAGCAGGGGAUCUUCGGACCUUGCGCGAUUGAAUGAGCCGAUGUCGGAUUAGCUAGUUGGCGGGGUAAAGGCCCACCAAGGCGACGAUCCGUAGCUGGUCUGAGAGGAUGACCAGCCACACUGGAACUGAGACACGGUCCAGACUCCUACGGGAGGCAGCAGUGGGGAAUAUUGGACAAUGGGGGCAAGCCUGAUCCAGCCAUACCGCGUGGGUGAAGAAGGCCUUCGGGUUGUAAAGCCCUUUUGUUGGGAAAGAAAAGCAGCAGGUUAAUACCCCGCUGUUCUGACGGUACCCAAAGAAUAAGCACCGGCUAACUUCGUG
Molecule: ribosomal RNA, 492 nt
Filed under: uncultured bacterium
Lineage: Bacteria
Description: partial 16S ribosomal RNA
Rfam family: Bacterial small subunit ribosomal RNA
Source: RNAcentral